This 457-nucleotide ribosomal RNA is filed under the name uncultured bacterium. RNAcentral's name for it is "partial 16S ribosomal RNA". It matches the Rfam family "Bacterial small subunit ribosomal RNA", at positions 338 to 792 of the family's 1533-position model. The record is from RNAcentral.
CCUACGGGAGGCAGCAGUGAGGAAUAUUGGUCAAUGGACGAGAGUCUGAACCAGCCAAGUAGCGUGAAGGAUGACUGCCCUAUGGGUUGUAAACUUCUUUUAUAUGGGAAUAAAAUGUUCCACGUGUGGGAUUUUGUAUGUACCAUAUGAAUAAGGAUCGGCUAACUCCGUGCCAGCAGCCGCGGUAAUACGGAGGAUCCGAGCGUUAUCCGGAUUUAUUGGGUUUAAAGGGAGCGUAGGUGGAUUGUUAAGUCAGUUGUGAAAGUUUGCGGCUCAACCGUAAAAUUGCAGUUGAAACUGGAAGUCUUGAGUACAGUAGAGGUGGGCGGAAUUCGUGGUGUAGCGGUGAAAUGCUUAGAUAUCACGAAGAACUCCGAUUGCGAAGGCAGCUCACUGGACUGCAACUGACACUGAGGCUCGAAAGUGUGGGUAUCAAACAGGAUUAGAUACCCCAGUC